This 82-nucleotide ribosomal RNA is filed under the name Trachycladiella aurea. Its description in RNAcentral is "partial 5.8S ribosomal RNA". It matches the Rfam family "5.8S ribosomal RNA", at positions 74 to 154 of the family's 154-position model. Rfam says of the family: 5.8S ribosomal RNA (5.8S rRNA) is a component of the large subunit of the eukaryotic ribosome. It is transcribed by RNA polymerase I as part of the 45S precursor that also contains 18S and 28S rRNA. Functionally, it is thought that 5.8S rRNA may be involved in ribosome translocation. The record is from RNAcentral. Lineage: Eukaryota; Viridiplantae; Streptophyta; Bryopsida; Hypnales; Meteoriaceae.
GCAGAAUUCCGCGAAUCAUCGAGUCUUUGAACGCAAGUUGCGCCCAAGGCUUGUCCAAGGGCAUUUCCGCUAGAGCGUCACC